GCACGGAGUUAGCCGAUGCUUAUUCCUCAGAUACCGUCAUUGUGUUCUUCUCUGAGAAAAGGAGUUUACGACCCACGGGCCUUCCUCCUCCACGCGGUAUUGCUCCGUCAGGCUUUCGCCCAUUGCGGAAAAUUCCUCACUGCUGCCUCCCGUAGGAGUCUGGACCGUGUCUCAGUUCCAGUGUGGCUGAUCAUCCUCUCAGACCAGCUACUGAUCGUCGCCUUGGGAGGCCAUUACCCUCACCAACUAGCUAAUCAGACGCAAGCCUCUCUUUUGGUGGUUUUCACCUUUCGCUCCUUAGCUCUAUGAGGUAUUAGCCGCAGUUUCCCGCGGUUGUCCCUCGCCAAAAGGUAAGUUCUUACGCGUUACGCACCCGUCCGCCACUGCCAUACGAUAGAGUAAACCCCAUCGUAUUUCGUUCGACUUGGCAUGUGUUAAGCAUACCGCCAGCGUUCAUC
This 458-nucleotide ribosomal RNA is filed under the name uncultured bacterium. RNAcentral's name for it is "partial 16S ribosomal RNA". The record is from RNAcentral.